GCGUUCAGGUCUCAGACAUACAUAAAUUUUCUUAUGUGUAGCAAACCUCUGUCAAUUAGCUAGAAAUCGGGAGCGAAGCCAGCAGGCUUCAGGCCAGUAGUUAAGGAGAGUUGUUUUUCCCCCAUCUUUCUGAUUCAAGACCUUUCCCACAAAAAGCAAGAGGAAUAAGUGGGGGACACUACGCUAGGAAUUGAAGACAAAAUGUCUGCUUGAAUGUUGAGUCUGAUUGUAGCGUAGCAAUCACCGGUACAUUUAGAAAAUAAUUUCUAGUCACCAGUACAUUUAGAAAAUAAUUUGUAAUCCCUGUUGUUUCACCAGCAGCCCGUCGCUGUUCUUAUCUCUAGUCCUUCUCCUUUUUCCAUACCCUGUGUGUCCUGCGAGUUGUGUUGCGUGGUGCAGACUAGCAGAGGAUGCUGGAAGGAGGUGUGCUCUGUAACUGAGAUGGGAUGUGCAGGUGUAAAAAGAGGACUAUCAACAGGAGCGCGUGGAAACCCUGCGUGGCAAGUACGGUGUUACUUUCAACAUGUAUUGCAGUCAGCCAGUGUCACUGCCAACACUGAAUGCUUUUUGGGAGGCGUGUUAUUGGGUAGACCGUUCCCUUUGACUUUUUUGCACUCUGAAUUAGUAUCUUGACACAGAGUAAGUUUGUUUCCUCUCAGUAGGGCCCUUUUCUUGGUGCUCAGUGGGGCUGCAACACAGCCAGGGUUGAAGGAGGAUCUCUGGCUGCUUAGGCCAGGGGGACAGGACACCUCGGCUCCAUCCUCCUUUUGGUCGUGAGUUGCUGUGGUCAUUGUGCAGGCGUUUUACAUUAACUGGCUUCAGUUUAGUAGUCUUGAGAGUCAAUGUGAUAAUGGACCGAAAAGUGGUUUUCUUAUUACUUUAACUGUUGUAGUAUUUGAGAUAUUUGGAUACACGUUAUAAUCCAAGUACUUUGAUCAAAAGAUGUCUGAAGUCAGCAAAAAGAUACAUUGAUAGUGGAUGUCGUUCAGUUCCUAAGUGGAGAUAGUAUAGAAAUAGAAAGUGCUUUCAGAAAUAAGAAGUUAUCUAGUGACUGUUUGGUAUUUAAUACGUUCUCUUUCCUGAAGUAGAGCUAUUUAUCUGUUUCAAAGUAUGGUAUUUCUUCAUUCAUUGUCUUUACCGUUUCAGUCAUCGGAAGCCAGUUAGUACCUGCAUGCAAAUGCUAUUACAGUUAUCGGUGAAACUGGUAGCAUAAAUUGCAAUAUAAGGACACCCACCAUUUUUUCUUUAAUCUUAUGGAAGUCCAGUAUGCCAUUUAUUAAUUCUUAGCUGGCAUUGGCUAACCCUUAUGAUGGUACAAAGGUCACAUUGCUUGGAUGGAGCAGGCAGGGACGGAUAACAGUCCCGCGGUGCUUCCUGUUUAUGGAGCUACCUUGAUUGCCUGCAUUUGGUUAUUUUUAUAAAAUACGACAUCAAGUCCUUCGCUAUUUAAAUACGGGCCAAAACACAGCACUGAAUGCACAGCACACACUCGGUGUCAGCGUGGCGGGGGAGAGCUGGCUGAGGCUGCCUGCAAUCGUGGGAAUCACCAACAUGAGUUGAAUUUUGGACUUGACAUUAAUAUUGCAGUAGAACCAUCUAAUUUUUCACUUGUCCAUUAUAAUAUAAAUCAGUUCUUUUGAAAAAAGUAGAUUUUGAGUAACAUGGGUCAAAUUCUCCUUAAUGCAUGUAUAAAAAGUAUAAAAGGUAGUCUUUUGGGGGGCAAAUUAAGUAAAACCUUGGAAAAAAUCUUUAUAUGCUAUGACAAAAUAUUCUUUGAAAUACUUAAACUGAGACUUUGACUUUCAAGACAUAUAUAUAUAUUUAAAAAUUAUAUAUAUAUGUCAGUCAAAUGUGCGUAUUACUUUAACAGCCACUCCUUUUUAAUAGCUUGCCACCUACUAAUUUCUGAGACAUGAAACCCUUCUUAGCAGUGGAAUUUUUUAAGCCAGCUUAUUUGCCAUCAGGGUGGAUUUUUCUUUUUGAGACUUUGGAGUCAGGCUGUUUAGAUCCGUAUCCGUCUCUGCCUGACCAUUGAAGUGGGCAUAAUCAGAGCAUCUCUUCAAGAACUCAAGGACAAGGUCAGCAAAGGCGCUUUGAGACCUCAGGGCAAUACUCUGUAUAUUAUUUGGUUUUGUGGUGUGCAGGGUAUGUCAAAUAGAAGAUUGGUCCAAAAACAUGUUCUGGCUGACAGACAACGGAGUAGUUUGAUGUGGCUUUUUAUUUCAAGUCUAGUAACAGUUAGGUAAUAUAUAGGAUAGAGAGAGACGCAGGAUCUCUGCUCUCCUGGUGAAUGUUCAUAUGUCGUCUUAAAAGACAGUACUGACUUUAUUGAGGCAGGGGAGGGAAAUGGACCAAUGGUCAUUUUGCUGAGAAAUGUGGCCAUAUUAGUGCCCGCUGUGGUCGAUCAAGUCAGGAAGUACAGGAUGGGCUUGUGCUGGUGAUGUUCUUUUUUUUUUUUUUUUCCUCAUUUUUGUUUUUGUUGGGUUUUUUGUUGUUUUUUUGGUGGUGGCUUGCUUGUUUUUAGAUUGAGUGCCAUUUUGAGCCGGUUUAAAGGGAAAAUGGACAAUGUCCACACAUGUUUUCUUGAGCCUGACUUACUGGAACUGAAUAGAUCCCCUGCAAGUCAGAUACGGGCAUUAGAUGUCUCAGUUUUGGUUCAACACAAAAUACCCUUAUUACUAAAAGUGUACUUGUAAAAUAGCUAUAUUGGCGUAGACCCUUUCAAGGAUUAGUCCAGAGCCUGAGGCUGCGUUGGAAACUGGUGUUCAUCACUGAGCAGCGUGCUGCAGCUGGCACGUGUCCCUAACUGGCAGAGAGAGCACAGAAGCUGUGGGUUUAAGGUAAGAAAAAAAGAAACAAAUAGGUGGUUUUCUUGCCUCCCGUGAAGAAAUCUCUUCCUACCACUGUUUGCAAUAGGUCAGUCCCAGUUUAUUCUCCUCCAGAAGACGCUGGGAAGAGGGUUGGUCUCUUCCCUGCUCUCUCCCGCGUCACCAGUGUGUUGCCCGUGAUGGUUCAGAGGAUCUUCUGUGAUCUUGUAGUAAAGCUCUAGGAAGUGCAAAAGUGGGGGUAGGAACUCCUCCAAGGCAACAAUAGGGAAAUCCCACAAACCGGGGGUAGUGUGGACUCCCCUCCCCGCUCUCAGUCAUCCUCUGCUGUACUUAGCCAGGCCUGGGAUGCUGCCAGCUCCCUUGUGUUGUGUUGUGAUAGUAUGAACUGCUGACGCACGGCAGCGUGUUUAGCACGUUCCAGCCUGCCAUGGCAGCCUGUCCCUGGUUCACUGCAGGGUUUUAGCAGGAUGGCGUUUGCUGCUGUGCAUGGUGUGAUAUUUCCAGCGGAGGCUGUCCUGUCGGGCAGUGAGGACAGCUGCCACGAAGGUUUGUAGUGAUACGCUUUCUCACAUUUCUAAGUCCUAGCGGCACAGAAAGAGACAUCGGUAAUAUUGAUGGUUGGUUUUUGUUUCACUGGUUCACAGGCAGAGAAAUACCUGUUUCAUGACAUUCCCUCUCAGCCCAUGCCCUGCCACUGGGUCCUAGCUUCUACCUAAGCUUUCAGCUUCAAAUACACAACUCAUGUCUCAUGUGUCUCCUUCAGAAUGGUGGGCUUUUACUGAUUGACCAGCAGCCCUAAAGCACAAGAACAAAGCAAAUAUUGCACCGUGAAGUCAUUGGCCAUCAGAGAAUUAAGAUGACGUUCUCUUCUCAGAAUGCUUUAUAAGCAGGUAACACUUCAAACCAGUCUGUACUUAAAAGGACGCCCGUGUCUGUUCAGGACUGCGUGAUGACUUUCCAGGGUUACUUGCUUGGGGAGGAACACCUCAGCCCUCAUUGGCAGCAGGCACGCUGUUUUUCCGGUUAUUUCGAUUUUCCCUCUGGAGGGAUGAAGAACAGAGAAGAAACUCUCCCCAGCAGGCCAGGAUUGGACCGAAGCCUGUGGAGAAUGUGGUAUCAACAGUCAGCCAGCUUACUGCCAGGAGAAGACGACGAGUUGGGCACAACCAGGCAAGUCCUUCCUUUUGAUUCAGUUUGUGGUAGCGGAGAGACCAGGCACUCUCGGGCACUCAAGUUAAUGGAACUUCUGCUCCACUCCACCCAAAACCACUCCGACCAAUUCCUUCUUCCUCUGCCACAUGCUUUCAGGGGCAAAAGCCACUUGACUUAUCCUAACACAUAUUUCACACUCAGAUUGACUCGCUCUUUGCAGUCAGUGCUCCCAGCACCUUGAAUCAUAGAAUCAUAGAAUGGUUUGCAUUGGGAGGGACCUUUAAAGGUCAUCUAGUCCAACCCCCCUGCCAUGAGCAGGGCCAUCUUCAACUAGAUCACGUUGCUCAGAGCCCCGUCCAACCUGACCUUGAAUGCUUCCAGGGACGGGGCAUCUGCCACCUCUCUGGGCAACCUGUGCCAGUGUUUCACCACCCUCAGCGCAAAAAAAUGUCCUGCUUAUAGCUAGUCUGAAUCUACCCUCUUCUAGUUUAAAACCAUUACCCCUUGUCCUGUUGCAACAGGCCCUACUAAAAACUCGGUCCCCAUCUUUCUUAUAAGCCCCCUUCAAGUACUGAAAGGCUGCAAUCAGGUCUCCCGGAGCCUUCUCUUCUCCAGGCUGAACAACCGCAGCUCGCUCUGCUUUUCUUCCCAGGAGAAGGUCUCACCAGAGCGGAGUAGAGGGGCAGAAUCCCCUCCCUCGACCUGCUGGCCACGCUGCUUUUGAUGCAGCCCAGGAUACGGGUGGCGUUCUGGGCAGCGAGCGCACGUUGCCGGCUCACGUCCAGCUUUUCGUCCACCAGUACUCCCCGAGUCCUUCUCGGCAGGGCUGCUCUCAAUCCCUUCAUCCCCCAGCCUGUAUUGAUACCGGGGCUUGCCGCGACCCAGGUGCAGGACCUUGCACUUGGCCUUGUUGAACCUCACGAGGUUCACGUGGGCCCGCUUCUCGAGCUUGUCCAGCUCCCUCUGGAUGGCAUCCCGUCCCUCGGGCGUGCUGUCAACCGCACCACUCAGCUUGGUGUCUCCUGCAAACUUGCUGAGGGUGCACUCGAUGCCCCUGUCUAUGUCGUUGAUGAAGAUAUUAAACAGUACUGGUCCCCUGAGGGACACCGCUCGUCACCGAUCUCCGUCCGCGCAUCGAGCCGUUGAGCACUACCCUCUGGAUGCGACCAUCCGACCACUUCCUUAUCCACCGAACAGUCCGUCCAUCAGGUCCAACUGAGAGAGGAGGAUGUUGGGGGGGACUGUGUCAAAGGCCUUACAGAAGUCCAGACAGAUGACAUGGGUAGCUCUUCCCUCGUCCACUGAUGUAGUCACUCCAUCAGCGAAGGCCACUGGGUUGGUCGGGCAGCCUAUACCCACCAGCUGCUCUCUCGAGGCUUCCUUUUGCAUGUCAAAUAAUUUAAGAGACUAUUUUUUCUGUUUUAUUGAUUGACUUUGCUCUUUGAGGACCCUGACAGAAAGGAUUCCCUUCAAUUUCACAUGAAGAAGAAAUGGAAAAGUAAAGGCUUCAUCUUUCCCGUGAAACA
Long non-coding RNA from Gymnogyps californianus (California condor), 5506 nucleotides. RefSeq lists it as uncharacterized. The record is from RefSeq and is a predicted model, not a curated record. The transcript has 3 exons. Lineage: Eukaryota; Metazoa; Chordata; Aves; Accipitriformes; Cathartidae.